AGCGAACGCUGGCGGCGUGCUUAACACAUGCAAGUCGAGUGCGUAGUCUCUUGUAGCAAUACAGGGGAUGGGCGCACGGCGAACGGGUGAGUAACACGUGGGUAACCUGCCCAGAUGACCGGGACAACCCGAGGAAACUCGGGCUAAUACCGGAUGUGACCCUCACACAUCAGUGUGAGAACCAAAGGAAGCUUCGGCCUCCGCAUCUGGAGGGGCCCGCGGCCCAUUAGCUUGUUGGUGAGGUAACGGCUCACCAAGGCCAUGAUGGGUAGCUGGUCUGAGAGGACGAUCAGCCACACUGGGACUGAGACACGGCCCAGACUCCUACGGGAGGCAGCAGUGGGGAAUCUUGCGCAAUGCGCGAAAGCGUGACGCAGCAACGCCGCGUGAGGGAAGAAGGCCUCGG
Molecule: ribosomal RNA, 406 nt
Filed under: uncultured bacterium
Lineage: Bacteria
Description: bacterial SSU rRNA
Rfam family: Bacterial small subunit ribosomal RNA
Source: RNAcentral